This is a long non-coding RNA of Equus caballus (horse), 248 nucleotides long. RefSeq lists it as uncharacterized. Lineage: Eukaryota; Metazoa; Chordata; Mammalia; Perissodactyla; Equidae. The record is from RefSeq and is a predicted model, not a curated record.
CUAGUCCUGCCUCCAGCCUGGACAGCCUAGCCUGGCAAAGAUGAGUUCUGGCAGCCAUAGGGCACAGGCAAGGUGGGACAGAACUCCUGGGUCUGUUUGGCCUCUGAGAGAGAACGUGGGGCCAGUUCUCUGAGGGAUAGACCACAGCUCCCCACAAAACUCCACUAUAGCUAAACCAGGUGCUGUCACAACUUUUUUUAAAUUGAGGUAAAAUUCAUAUGACAUUAAAAUAACCAUUUUAAAGUGUA